UGCAAGUCGAACGGUGAAGGAGGAGCUUGCUCCUUUGGAUCAGUGGCGAACGGGUGAGUAACACGUGAGUAACCUGCCCCAGACUCUGGGAUAAGCACUGGAAACGGUGUCUAAUACCGGAUACGAGCUUCAGCCGCAUGGCUAGGAGCUGGAAAGAAUUUCGGUCUGGGAUGGACUCGCGGCCUAUCAGCUAGUUGGUGAGGUAAUGGCUCACCAAGGCGACGACGGGUAGCCGGCCUGAGAGGGUGACCGGCCACACUGGGACUGAGACACGGCCCAGACUCCUACGGGAGGCAGCAGUGGGGAAUAUUGCACAAUGGGCGCAAGCCUGAUGCAGCAACGCCGCGUGAGGGACGACGGCCUUCGGGUUGUAAACCUCUUUUAGUAGGGAAGAAGCGAAAGUGACGGUACCUGCAGAAAAAGCACCGGCUAACUACGUGCCAGCAGCCGCGGUAAUACGUAGGGUGCAAGCGUUAUCCGGAAUUAUUGGGCGUAAAGAGCUCGUAGGCGGUUUGUCGCGUCUGCUGUGAAAACUGGAGGCUCAACCUCCAGCCUGCAGUGGGUACGGGCAGACUAGAGUGCGGUAGGGGAGAUUGGAAUUCCUGGUGUAGCGGUGGAAUGCGCAGAUAUCAGGAGGAACACCGAUGGCGAAGGCAGAUCUCUGGGCCGUAACUGACGCUGAGGAGCGAAAGCAUGGGGAGCGAACAGGAUUAGAUACCCUGGUAGUCCAUGCCGUAAACGUUGGGAACUAGAUGUAGGGACCAUUCCACGGUUUCUGUGUCGCAGCUAACGCAUUAAGUUCCCCGCCUGGGGAGUACGGCCGCAAGGCUAAAACUCAAAGGAAUUGACGGGGGCCCGCACAAGCGGCGGAGCAUGCGGAUUAAUUCGAUGCAACGCGAAGAACCUUACCAAGGCUUGACAUAUACCGGAAAAGUUCAGAAAUGUUCUCCCCGCAAGGCCGGUAUACAGGUGGUGCAUGGUUG
RNAcentral lists this ribosomal RNA (983 nucleotides) under Frigoribacterium sp. 956G78. Its description in RNAcentral is "bacterial SSU rRNA". It matches the Rfam family "Bacterial small subunit ribosomal RNA", at positions 56 to 1051 of the family's 1533-position model. Lineage: Bacteria; Bacillati; Actinomycetota; Actinomycetes; Micrococcales; Microbacteriaceae. The record is from RNAcentral.